AUCGAAUAAAUCACUGAUAAUUAACGGCCUCUCUGAGAUCCUUGCACUAACAAAACAAGAAAACCAUGCACUUAAUACCGUUAAUCUAACACAAGAACAUUACAGGAAAGAUUAAAAGACGCAGAAGGAACUCGGCAAACUACGAACCCCGCCUGUUUACCAAAAACAUCGCCUCUUGCUAACAAACAUGUAUAAGAGGUCCAGCCUGCCCAGUGACUAUAUGUUCAACGGCCGCGGUAUUCUGACCGUGCAAAGGUAGCGUAAUCACUUGUCUUUUAAAUAAAGACUGGUAUGAACGGCACCACGAAGGUUCAACUGUCUCCUGCAUCCAAUCCAUUAAACUGACCUCCCCGUGCAGAGGCGGGGAUUUAACCAUAAGACGAGAAGACCCUAUGGAGCUUUAAACUAAAGGCAACUGCCAACUACAACCUAACCCAUAAGGAAAUAAUAAUAAAACAAGCAGAAAUUGACCUAAAGUUUUCGGUUGGGGCGACCACGGAGAAUAAAAAAUCCUCCUUGAAGAAUAGGGCCUACUACCCUUAAC
RNAcentral lists this ribosomal RNA (544 nucleotides) under Xenopus laevis (African clawed frog). RNAcentral describes it as "partial 16S ribosomal RNA". It matches the Rfam family "Bacterial large subunit ribosomal RNA", at positions 1565 to 2496 of the family's 2925-position model. The record is from RNAcentral. Lineage: Eukaryota; Metazoa; Chordata; Amphibia; Anura; Pipidae.